GGUUUGAUUAUGGCUCAGAUUGAACGCUGACGGGAUGCUUUACACGGCUGCAAGUCGAACGGCAGCACGGACUUCAGUCUGGUGGCGAGUGGCGAACGGGUGAGUAAUGUAUCGGAACGAUGCCUAGUAGCGGGGGAUAACUGCAUUUGAAAAGCGUAGCUAAUACCACAUACGCCCUUCGGGGAAAGCAGGGGGACCUUCGGGCCUCGCACUAUUAGAGCGGCCGAUAUCGGAUUAGCUAGUUGGUGGGGUAACGGCUCACCAAGGCGACGAUCCGUAGCUGGUUUGAGAGGACGACCAGCCACACUGGGACUGAGACACGGCCCAGACUCCUACGGGAGGCAGCAGUGGGGAAUUUUGGACAAUGGGGGAAACCUGAUCCAGCCAUCCAUAGUGUGCGAUGAAGGCCUUCGGGUUGUAAAAGCACUUUUUGGCAGGAAAGAAACAUGCACAGGAUAAUACCCCGUGCAACUGACAGCCUGCAGAAUAAGCACCGGCCUUUACGUGCCAGCAGCCGCGGUAAUACGUAGGGUGCAAGCGUUAAUCAGAAUUACUGGGCGUAAAGCGUGCCGACCGGUUGGAAAGAAAGAUGCUGAAAUCCCAGAGCUUAACUUUGGAACUGCAUUUUUAACUACCGAGCUAGAGUGUGUCAGAGGUGGAAUUCCCGCGUGUAGCAGUGAAAUGCGUAGAUAUGCGGAGGAACACCGAUGGCGAAGGCAGCCUCCUGGGAUAACACUGACGCUCAUGCACAUGGUAAGGAGCAAACGGGAUUAGAUACCCUGGUAGUCCGCCUAAACGAUGUCAACUAGCUGUUGGGGCCUUCGGGCAUGGUAGCGCAGCUAACGUGAAGUUGGCCGCCUGGGGAUACAGUCGCAAAGAUUAAAGCUCAAAGGAAUUGACGGGGACCCGCACAAGCGGUGGAUGAUGUGGAUUAAUUCGAUGCAACGCGAAAAACCUACCCUUAUUGUCUGCGUCCAGAAGAGAUUUAGGAGUGCUCGCAAGAGAACCAGGUGCAAUUGCUGCAUGGCUGUCGUCAGCUCGUGUCGUGAAGUGUUUGGGUUAAGUCAACGAGCGCAGCGUAUCAUUAGUUGCUACGAAGGGCACUCUAAUGAGACUUGCGGUGACAAACCGGAGGAAGGUGGGGAUGACGUCAAGUCCUCAUGGCCCUUAUGGGUAGGGCUUCACACGUCAUACAAUGGUCCGGGACAGAGGGUCGCCAACCCGCGAAAGGGGAGCCAAUCCCAGAAACCCGAUCGUAGUCCGGAUCGCAGUCUGCAACUCGACUGCGUGAUCGGAAUCGCUAGUAAUCGCGGAUCAGCAUGUCGCGGUGAAUACGUUCCCGGGUCUUGUACACACACCGCCCGUCACACCAUGGGAGUGGGUUUUACAAGUAGUUAGCCUAACCGUAAGGAGGCGAUUACCACGGUAAGUUCAUGACUGGGGUGAAGUCGUAACAAGGUG
This 1461-nucleotide ribosomal RNA is filed under the name uncultured Bordetella sp. Its description in RNAcentral is "partial 16S-23S ribosomal RNA intergenic spacer". It matches the Rfam family "Bacterial small subunit ribosomal RNA". Lineage: Bacteria; Pseudomonadati; Pseudomonadota; Betaproteobacteria; Burkholderiales; Alcaligenaceae. The record is from RNAcentral.